RNAcentral lists this ribosomal RNA (519 nucleotides) under uncultured eukaryote. Its description in RNAcentral is "SSU rRNA". It matches the Rfam family "Eukaryotic small subunit ribosomal RNA", at positions 1161 to 1698 of the family's 1831-position model. The record is from RNAcentral.
AGGGCACCACCAGGAGUGGAGCCUGCGGCUUAAUUUGACUCAACACGGGAAAACUCACCCGGCCCGGACACUGGAAGGAUUGACAGAUUGAGAGCUCUUUCUUGAUUCAGUGGGUGGUGGUGCAUGGCCGUUCUUAGUUGGUGGAGUGAUUUGUCUGGUUAAUUCCGAUAACGAACGAGACUCUAGCCUACUAAAUAGAUCGUCGGCUUACAAACGCCGACGAGACUUCUUAGAGGGACAGGCGGUGAUUCAACCGCACGAAACAGAGCAAUAACAGGUCUGUGAUGCCCUUAGAUGUCCGGGGCCGCACGCGCGCUACACUGAAGUGAUCAGCGUGUUUUUGUCAACCUACUCUGUCAAGAGUGGGGAACCCAAUGAACCUUCUUCGUGAUUGGGAUAGGGGAUUGUAAUUAUUCCCCUUGAACGAGGAAUUCCCAGUAAGCGCGAGUCAUAAGCUCGCGUUGAUUACGUCCCUGCCCUUUGUACACACCGCCCGUCGCUACUACCGAUUGAAUGUUU